CCUUCACCAAUCCCUUCACCACCCCUGCCCAACCCCAGCUGCCUUCCACCAACCCAUUCCAGCCCAAUGGUAUAGCCUCAGGGCCUGGCUACGGGAUGGGCAGUGUUCAGCCUGGCCUUCUCCAGCCAGCGCCACCCUCCGGAGCCUUUGCCAGUACCUUCCCUGCCCCGGUGUUCCCCACACAGGCUGGACUGGUGGAACAGCAGAAUGGAACCCCACCCCCACCCGUCAUGUGCACUGGACUCCGUAGCUAUUCGUGCAGUUCUCGUAACACAGAAACUGCACGCUAAGUGCACAGGCAUGCUAUUCUACCCACUCAGGAGGCUGAGACAAGUGUGCAAGGCUUGCCGGGACUGUGCACAUAGUGAAAAGAGGGCAGGGGUGGAGUUUGCUGGGCAGGAGCAGCACCGGGUUCCAUUCCCAGUUCAAUAAAGAUGUAAGGAACCUGUGU
This 451-nucleotide long non-coding RNA is filed under the name Rattus norvegicus (Norway rat). Its description in RNAcentral is "long non-coding RNA NONRATT007367". Lineage: Eukaryota; Metazoa; Chordata; Mammalia; Rodentia; Muridae. The record is from RNAcentral.